AGUGAACGCUGGCGGUAGGCCUAACACAUGCAAGUCGAACGGUAGCACAGUAAGAGCUUGCUCUUACGGGUGGCGAGUGGCGGACGGGUGAGGAAUACAUCGGAAUCUACUUUUUCGUGGGGGGUAACGUAGGGAAACUUACGCUAAUACCGCAUACGACCUACGGGUGAAAGCAGGGGAUCUUCGGACCUUGCGCGAUUGAAUGAGCCGAUGUCGGAUUAGCUAGUUGGCGGGGUAAAGGCCCACCAAGGCGACGAUCCGUAGCUGGUCUGAGAGGAUGAUCAGCCACACUGGAACUGAGACACGAUCCAGACUCCUACGGGAGGCAGCAGUGGGGAAUAUUGGACAAUGGGCGCAAGCCUGAUCCAGCCAUACCGCGUGGGUGAAGAAGGCCUUCGGGUUGUAAAGCCCUUUUGUUGGGAAAGAAAAGCAGCAGGUUAAUACCCCGCUGUUCUGACGGUACCCAAAGAAUAAGCACCGGCUAACUUCGUG
This 492-nucleotide ribosomal RNA is filed under the name uncultured bacterium. RNAcentral's name for it is "partial 16S ribosomal RNA". It matches the Rfam family "Bacterial small subunit ribosomal RNA", at positions 29 to 507 of the family's 1533-position model. The record is from RNAcentral.